Poeciliopsis prolifica (blackstripe livebearer) is the source of this 392-nucleotide long non-coding RNA. RefSeq lists it as uncharacterized. The record is from RefSeq and is a predicted model, not a curated record. The transcript is spliced from 3 exons. NCBI's taxonomy places the organism in Eukaryota, Metazoa, Chordata, Actinopteri, Cyprinodontiformes, Poeciliidae.
GCUGCUCUUUUCUCUGGACUCUUUUCUCCUCAUGACUCCAUCAUGAAACAUUUUCAUCAGAACUUCUCUCCUGUCUCAUGAAGAUUCAUCAACCUGCCUCUGAUUUUACAGCAAACCUUCUGCUGCUCUGAAAGAAGAAACUACAAACCAGUUCUGUUGAGUCUCUGUACAGGUGUGGCAUUAGUCUGGUUCUCCUGCGGUUCUGUUGGGGUUUUGUCUGUGGUUCAGAUGUUCGUCUUCAACUCUUUGGACAGUUUGAACAAACUGUGAAGCUAGAAAGUGUGUGUGAGCUGAUGUGGAUUCAGCAGCAUGGAUCAGUGUGAGGACAGAGAGGAGGGAGUCCCUCCCUCUAAAACCACUCUGUGUGGGGAAGAUGAGAGCCAGAGCAAAGG